RNAcentral lists this long non-coding RNA (405 nucleotides) under Setaria viridis. RNAcentral's name for it is "long non-coding RNA (SVIR_LNC004721)". The record is from RNAcentral. Lineage: Eukaryota; Viridiplantae; Streptophyta; Magnoliopsida; Poales; Poaceae.
UCUUGUUGAGCUUAGUAGCUCAGCCUUGUUGUGGCUCCUGUUUUUCAGGUGAAGUUGCUGCUCCCGACCCCUCUUUUGCUGGCGCUUGGCCGCCCCAGCACCCGCCGGGCUGGACGGUCGAGUGGGAUCCUUCCUCGGACGGCGAGGAGAGGAAUCAGUGAUGUCCCGGUUGACCUCACCAGGGAUGUCCGACCCCGACGAUUGCUUCCGCUAGUGGUUUUACCCUUUUGCUGUUUUCCUUUAAACCUUGUAAAACUCUAAUGAUGGUUUUAUGAUCGAACAAAAAGGUUAAAUCGUUUAACUCGGUGGACUCGUUAUAUUCUCUGGAACCACUCACCUUCGUGUGAGUUUGCUAAACCCGAUCCUGUUUAAGUGGUAAAUUGGAUGAAAUCCGACGGCACUCCG